UCUUGUUCCCGAUCAUGUCUAUAAAUACUCAUAAGAAUCAAGUAUAAAAUAAUUAAUUAAUAAAUAAAUCCCAUUACUGUUCUGCUACAAGAAUCCAUUAAACCAUGUUAAGUAAGAAUAUACCCAGUUCAGAUUGAUGGUAAAUUAUCAACUCAAAAUAACAUGGACGCAAUAUGGGAAAUAGAAAUUCAAGAUUGAAUGGAAGAGCCUACCGAUUUAGGGAAUGCCCAGAAGAACAACACCGAUUGUUGAUAUCAAUUUGAAGGUUCUUGAUAUAUACGAACAGCCUAUCGAUUAUGUUGUUCAAGAAAGUUAGAUGUGGGUCUAAAUGAACUGGGUGUGCCUGAUCUUGUGAAGAAUAUGUGGUUUUUUUAUUUUUAUUUUUUUAAUUAUAGGGAUAAUUUGGUCAUUUAAUAAAA
RNAcentral lists this long non-coding RNA (419 nucleotides) under Helianthus annuus (common sunflower). Its description in RNAcentral is "sRNA HanXRQr2_Chr12g0522341". Lineage: Eukaryota; Viridiplantae; Streptophyta; Magnoliopsida; Asterales; Asteraceae. The record is from RNAcentral.